AUACUUACCUGGCGUAGAGAACACCGUGAUCAACAAGGCGGUUUCUCCAGGGAGAGGCUCUUCCAUUGCACUUCGGUCGAGCUGACCUCUGCGAUUACUCCUAAUGCGAGUAACUCGGGCGCACAAUUUUUGGUAGUCGGGACUGCGUUCGCGCUGUCCCGGU
Molecule: small nuclear RNA, 163 nt
Filed under: Eyprepocnemis plorans
Lineage: Eukaryota; Metazoa; Arthropoda; Insecta; Orthoptera; Acrididae
Description: U1 lineage 2
Rfam family: U1 spliceosomal RNA
About the family: U1 is a small nuclear RNA (snRNA) component of the spliceosome (involved in pre-mRNA splicing).
Source: RNAcentral